This 404-nucleotide ribosomal RNA is filed under the name uncultured bacterium. RNAcentral's name for it is "bacterial SSU rRNA". It matches the Rfam family "Bacterial small subunit ribosomal RNA", at positions 29 to 416 of the family's 1533-position model. The record is from RNAcentral.
AACGAACGCUGGCGGCGUGCCUAACACAUGCAAGUCGGGCGGGAAAGUUCCCUUCGGGGAGCAAGUACAGCGGCGAACGGGUGAGUAACACGUAGGUAACCUACCCUGGGGACUGGGAUAACCUGCCGAAAGGCGGGCUAAUACCAGAUAAGACCACGAGGGCUAUGGCUCUUGAGGUAAAAGAUGGCCUCUACUUGUAAGCUAUCACUCCGGGAUGGGCCUGCGCGCCAUUAGCUAGUGGUGGGGUAACGGCUCACCAAGGCUGAGAUGGCUAGCUGGUCUGAGAGGAUGGCCAGCCACACUGGGACUGAGACACGGCCCAGACUCCUACGGGAGGCAGCAGUGGGAAUAUUGCGCAAUGGGCGAAAGCCUGACGCAGCGACGCCGCGUGGGUGAUGAAGGCC